GAUGAACGCUGGCGGCGUGCCUAAUACAUGCAAGUCGAGCGAACGGAUGAGAAGCUUGCUUCUCUGAUGUUAGCGGCGGACGGGUGAGUAACACGUGGAUAACCUACCUAUAAGACUGGGAUAACUUCGGGAAACCGGAGCUAAUACCGGAUAAUAUUUUGAACCGCAUGGUUCAAAAGUGAAAGACGGUCUUGCUGUCACUUAUAGAUGGAUCCGCGCUGCAUUAGCUAGUUGGUAAGGUAACGGCUUACCAAGGCAACGAUGCAUAGCCGACCUGAGAGGGUGAUCGGCCACACUGGAACUGAGACACGGUCCAGACUCCUACGGGAGGCAGCAGUAGGGAAUCUUCCGCAAUGGGCGAAAGCCUGACGGAGCAACGCCGCGUGAGUGAUGAAGGUCUUCGGAUCGUAAAACUCUGUUAUUAGGGAAGAACAUUUGUGUAAGUAACUGUGCACAUCUUGACGGUACCUAAUCAGAAAGCCACGGCUAACUACGUG
Molecule: ribosomal RNA, 497 nt
Filed under: uncultured bacterium
Lineage: Bacteria
Description: partial 16S ribosomal RNA
Rfam family: Bacterial small subunit ribosomal RNA
Source: RNAcentral